UUUAUGGAGUUUGGAAAGUGAACUACUGUCCCAUUCUUGCAUGAUAUAGGAUUGCAGCUCCUGGAUCUCCUCUGUUGUUUUUAAGGCUCACGGAUACUUUUACUGUCCAAGUAAACCUGAAAGAAUGAUGUACAUCACUCAGGUCUUCAGGUGUAACAAGUGCUCGUUUCAUAGAAAAUAAUAAACGAUAAUAACAAUGUAAAGUUUCUACUCAUAUUCAUAAAAAUAGUGAUCUGAAUGGAUGACAAGCUGAGACUACAGUCAGACCAGUCAGCACCUGUACUCUUCUACUCCAGAGCCACACAGUUGGAAUAUGUGCAGACUGUAGUUUGGCAUCUUCAAGGUCUUCCUUUUAUGAAGCAUGUGCUGCAUUUAAACCUGUCUAUAUUGUGUAGCACCUAUUAAUGCCGUGUGCACAUGUGCAUCCUGAUCUGAUAACAUCACAGGUAACAGCUCUGAACUGUGCACUAAUAACCAGCAGGGUGGAGCUUCUCUUCUGCAGAGUAACGGCCAUGAUUUCAAAAAUGAAUAAUAGGACAGUUUUUCCCCUUUUGCUAUUUCCAGCCUUCCAGCUUUAGACCCCCUUAAUGUAUCUAUGGUACUGUUUUAAUCUGCAUGCAGUGAUUUCCACUACAGAGUCUUUUUUAAAUUUUGUGCUGCCUAAACGUCCCAAGAUCACGUCUCUUUUGUACACGGGUUUCUCCAAAAUCUUUGUUUUAAUUAAUUGCAUUUGUUUGGAGAUUUUCCUCAAACUUUUUCAAUUUUUCAUUUUCACGGUUUCAUGCACGGUCUUUGCACAAUAUACUCAGUUAAAAUAUAGGACUAAAUUUUAUUUUUGUCCUUAAAGCAGCUGGACGGAGUUUUCAUUUUCUGUUGAUUUUAGCGUUUGUGCAGCGCGUAUUGUCGUAAACACACUUCUCUGGCUCGCACAUCAGGGCUCCAGAAACUUUUUUGUGAGCAGUUUGAGGCAGCUUACUUUGUUAAUGUGUUUAAAGUGGGAAGCCAGUCAGAGUCUCAUGCUGCAAGACGUUGUCACCGUUUGUGUAGUGACAGUAAUGUCAGUAUUUUCAGUGCGAAAUAAAGUGGAAAAAUGUCCUCUCUGGUCUGAGUGCUGUAAAUCGUUUUGUUGGUGGUCCUGACCGACAACUGGCUCCCGUUUUCCCCACUUUCACUAUUUAGACAUAGCUUAUCUUCACACAGAUGGGCUCUUUGGUUGUUGCAGGUGACAGGAAGUUUAAUUUGAUAAACAAACUUCCUAAAUCUGAAUGAAUUCUGAAACAGUUUUAUUGUGAAGUUGAACUAAAGCUGUUAUUUUGAAGUGUCCUGAGCACAAGUUCAGAUCGAGUCAAAAACAACUUUUUGGCUCACAACUGGUGCCGAGUUUUCAAAAUAUCGUUUAUUGUUCCUGUUGGAUGGAGCAGUGACCCUGCGAGGAAAUGUAUCAAGGUUUAGGUCCUUUGAGUUCCUUCCAGGCUGACUUUGUUUGAACGGUGUCCAUCAGUCCUGGAUUCAUAAACAGUGGUUGCCAUCUUUGAAUGCAGCUUGUAAAGAUCAAGCUAAAGUGACCCUGACGGCAACCAAAAGCCACCGCUUUUACAUCUUCCCUGAUGAAAGUACGUAGGCUGGUAAACCACCACUAAACUCUUCCCUAAAACUGAUGAAAUACCAGGAACAGCUUGUCAAAUAUAUGGUUUACAAGCAUCUCUGGACUGUUGUGAGAACUCUGGGGCUUCAUGUGAUUGCAGCCACAACCGGCUCACAACAAUCAGUUAAACUCGGGAGAUCUUUUUCCUUCCCAGAAGUUCAGAUUUAUGUUAACAGAAGGUGUGCUCUCAAUCCCGAUUACAUGAAACAUCCUUUGUUCAUGUUGGCUGUGAGCGCAGGUUCACCUGUGGGUAAUACAAAGAUGACUGGAAACAGAUUUGUAUGUUUUGACAAAUGGCGGCAGUGAUUUUCCUCAGCAGACAAAACUAAAGUCCGUCCAGAUAUCAGAGGAGUGCAGAGACAUGAGGGGAUAUCAUGCAUUCAAGGAGAGAGAGGUAAACAAAUAAGACUGGGUGGCUUCCAACCAGGAGCCGGGGUCACCGUGCACAGCUUUACAAAAGGAGAAUGAAUCUUACGCUCCGUUCCUGCACUAACUUCCAGAUUUAUUUGUCAGGUUUUAGCACUUCAGCCUUACAUGGUUCUGUUGUUGUAGCCGAGAGCUGCGACUGUGGUUAAAAAUAUCAAAGGCAGAGCGCAAGAACGAAAGCUGAACUCACAAAGAGGUAAAAACGAGCAGACGGGACGCAGGGAGAAACCUGGAGGGAUGCCGAGAGCUUCUUUCCAACUCAAACAGACACUUUGCCAGAGCUCAAACCUCGGCGAGACAUCCAUCAUCACACAGGAACAUUAUUACCAACAUGUCUUCAGAGUUUUCCUCCAUGAUGGCAAAGUAAAGGUGCAAAGUAUAGUGCUUUUCAGGGUGUAAUUACAGAGUAACGUCCAGCCCGUGCUGAGGGUUAAAUAUUCAAAAGGGAUUCAGUCAGAGUGUGAGUACAGGCUGAGUUGGACCAAGUUUUGGGGGUUUCACCUUCAUUCUUCAGCCAAUGCUGUGAGGAGAGGGGAUUUCUGCCUCCGGCUAGGUGUUGGCUUUUUACUUACAACCAGAAAUAUCUAGAAAUGAGACUUGAACUGCCCUUUUAUUGGACAUGUGAGGUUCUGAGGGAGGAUGAAAUAUCUCAUGAUGACUUCUAAAUGUUUCCUCCUUAAUUUGGAGCUUCAAUUGAAGUAUCUUUUUACAGAAAAUCGUAUUAUUUUUUAACCAAAAGCAAACAGACUGAUAUAUGCCCUACUUUAAAGAUCAGUGUAGGCACCCUGUGGUCUAACACAACAUUAUCCUUUACACUUGGAGGAUUCGCUGAAAACACAGUAAAUUUAAGUUGAAUUUAAUAAAAGUUUGGUGGAGUAAAGGUGCUAUAGUUUUUAGGUUUUUUGGGUAAAUGCAUGAUUAUGACCUGUUAAGUCGGAAUACUCAAAGUGGCUGCUUUUUGCUUUAUUCGCUAACUUUUGGAGGAAAUACCAGAGCUGCUGAAUUCAGAGCAUUAUGUUGUUUAUUCCUUUUUAUUCAUUGAAUCAGAUUUCUGAAAAAAAAAAAGUUAAAAUCUAGAUUUUUUUAUAAAGUGUGUAAAAUAAGGACUAAAGUUUGAGGCUUGGACUCGAGUUGCAGACUAACAUGAUUUCAGACUUGAGCUUUGAGACUCGUAGACAGUCUUUUUACUUUCCUUUUUGCAAUAACAACAACAAGAGCUCAAUAUUAUUCACGAGUACAUAUCUUUUUUAACUCCAAGUUUCUUUAUCUUUUAAUUUCUCUUUUUGUAUCUGUAUUCAUGCUGCUGUAAUUUGCUCAUUUCCCCCCGUGGGACUAUUAAAGGAAAUUCUCAUCUUACCUUAUCUCAUCUCAUCUCAUCUCGCCUCGUCUUAUCUCAUCUCAUCUCGUCCGAUCUCAUCUUGUCUUAUUUGAUCUCAUCUCAUCUCGUCUUAUCGUAUCUCACCUUGUCUCGUCUUAUUUGAUCUCAUCUCGUCUCAUUUUAUCAGCCUCACCAUAAGGAGCUCUUUACCUGCUGCCUUAUUGGUAGUGUCCCUUGCAUAUAGACCAUGACUCAGAAUGAUGCUUAAGCACAUUUAUAUGGCAUUUUUAUUAUCAUUAUUUUUUAAUCCAUAUGAAGCUGCUCUCCUUGAGCAAUAAAUGAACAAUAACCACUCACCCUGAACAUUUUCACAUCAGGUAAUGAUGAUGAACGAGUCCCAAAGAAGCUACUACUGCAGUCAUACGUUAACCGAGAUGGGAGAUGUAGUCCACUGGGCCAUUUGUAAGUACACUGAAUGGUCCUUUACUGAUUAAACCCUUGAUUAUUUAAAGACAACACAAAAAUAUAAAGUGAGACAAGUUCAAAAUUAGUGUGUCCCUGAGAUCUUCUUUCUCAUGUGCGUCACUGACCUUUACUCCUCUUGAAAUGUCAACGACUCGGCGACAACAGCUCAUUUCUGACCUCCUGCUGUUCACUUAGUCACCCAAGAAACUUCCAAAUUUGUCUCAUGAAGCGUCUGCAACUCCAGGGCCUGGAGAGUGUCCCUGCUGGACGAUCAUAUGAGUAAAUUAAUUCUCUCCUGGGUCUCUGUGCGUAGUCGAAGAGCCAGAUUUAAAAAUGUGACGUGCCUCAAACACAGCUGCAAAUGCAUGUAGACACACACACACACACACACACACACACACACACACACACACACACACACACACACACGGUAUAUAUUUGAGUAUUCAUUAGUGAGUGUUUAGGUUCAAACGCAGUGAGUCAUAUUUAAACAGCCUCACACACACACGUCCACUGACAGUCACUGGUCUUUCUCACAAUGUUAUGGUGUCCAUGUGUGAAUGAGGUAAUUACACAGUGUCAUUCACAAUGAUAAUGCAUUACGGCUCAUUUCACUCUCAUUACAAACCGCUCCCUCCCCGCUCUGCUGUUACUGGACAAAUCUGAACACAUCCACACCCUAAAACCCGCCGAAGAAGGAUUGAAAUAAAUAUUUUCCCUCAGUGUGAAGUGAUUCACUAAAUUAGAGACGGAUAAUCCCGGCCCACCUUCUUUACCGAUGAGAUAGAUGAUGCAGGUUUCUGCGGGGACUUGUCGCUUCAGCCGUAGAGCGUUUCAGACAGGAGGGACAUCUCUGAAGCUUCUCGUAAUCUAAAGGGCAAAAAUCUGUCCAGAAAGAAACGUCAUCCUCCAAACUUGACCGUACACACAUUUCUCAGCCGUCUUGGUUUACAUUUUAUAAACACAUUUUAGCCGUUUGGCUUGUGUUCCUGCGCAGACGUCAGCAGGGAGGGCUCCAUUGUCUCACUAAAAGCUUUGCACUUCAACAUGUCGGCUGAUGGAUUUGCUGUUUGGGGGAUUGAUACUACAGACCACUGGCUAAGCCAAUACAGCGGUAUUUCCCAAUCCCCCUCAAGGAUUAUUAAAGUGCUCCGCCUAUCUUUCUAUCUUCGCGUCUGUUAUUUCAUAUUUAAAAACUCAGAGAGACGUUUUCACAUAUACGGUUUUGCUGCUCAUUUUCUAAGCUCUCCUUGUUUACAACAAAUGGUACCAGACGUUGUCCUCUGGCUGCAGGAACCACAACAACAUUUGGGCGCGUGGGGAAACAGAAUCCGGUGGAAAAUCUGUUAAAGCUGAUUGUUGACAUGUAUAACAGCCUGAAACGACCAGACAGCUCAAAACAGAAAUACAGUUAUUUUCAGCCAAGUCUUCUCUUUUGAUAAAGUAGGUCAGCAUUUCAGGAAAUAUGUAGAAAGUAGGAAAUAUGACCUACUUUUUUUCCAGGAAUAAGUGCAAAUCAUCUGAACCUUUAUGUAUGUAAAUAAAUAAUUAGCAUAACUUAGCAUAUACCCCCCUAAAAAAGCUCAAGGGUAACAAAAACAUUAUUAAAGUAGUAUUGCUGUGUUCCGGUUACCUCAGAAGUCGGAUGUCAGAGCUGAGAAUGACACUACACCUGAGUUGACGGCGGUCAAGUUAACACGUCAGAAAACCAAGAUGGACACCUACUGUUAGCCGUCUUUUGCCGUUGUUAGCUGUUGUUAACAAUUGUCAGCUGCCGUUAGCCGUUGUCAGUUGUUGUUAGCGGUUGUCAUCUGUUGUUAGUUGUUGUUAGCU
Molecule: non-coding RNA, 5687 nt
Organism: Xyrichtys novacula (pearly razorfish)
Lineage: Eukaryota; Metazoa; Chordata; Actinopteri; Labriformes; Labridae
Source: the annotation of a GenBank genome assembly